RNAcentral lists this ribosomal RNA (474 nucleotides) under uncultured organism. Its description in RNAcentral is "partial 16S ribosomal RNA". It matches the Rfam family "Bacterial small subunit ribosomal RNA", at positions 331 to 797 of the family's 1533-position model. The record is from RNAcentral.
GUACACUCCUGCGGGAGGCAGCAGUGGGGAAUUUUGGACAAUGGGCGAAAGCCUGAUCCAGCAAUGCCGCGUGAGUGAAGAAGGCCUUCGGGUUGUAAAGCUCUUUUGUCAGGGAAGAAACGGUGAGAGCUAAUAUCUUUUGCUAAUGACGGUACCUGAAGCAUAAGCACCGGCUAACUACGUGCCAGCAGCCGCGGUAAUACGUAGGGUGCAAGCGUUAAUCGGAAUUACUGGGCGUAAAGCGUGCGCAGGCGGUUUUGUAAGUCUGAUGUGAAAUCCCCGGGCUCAACCUGGGAAUUGCAUUGGAGACUGCAAGGCUAGAAUCUGGCAGAGGGGGGUAGAAUUCCACGUGUAGCAGUGAAAUGCGUAGAUAUGUGGAGGAACACCGAUGGCGAAGGCAGCCCCCUGGGUCAAGAUUGACGCUCAUGCACGAAAGCGUGGGGAGCAAACAGGAUUAGAAACCCGUGUAGUCCC